CCGGCGACCGGCGCACGGGUGAGUAACACGUAUGCAACCUGGCCGUGACAGAUGGAUAACCGGGAGAAAUCCCGCCUAAUACAGCAUGACGCCGGGAAGGGACAUCCCUUUCCGGCCAAAGGGGGCGACUCCGGUCACGGAUGGGCAUGCGUGACAUUAGCUUGUUGGCGGGGUAACGGCCCACCAAGGCGACGAUGUCUAGGGGUUCUGAGAGGAAGGUCCCCCACACUGGUACUGAGACACGGACCAGACUCCUACGGGAGGCAGCAG
RNAcentral lists this ribosomal RNA (270 nucleotides) under uncultured bacterium. RNAcentral's name for it is "partial 16S ribosomal RNA". It matches the Rfam family "Bacterial small subunit ribosomal RNA", at positions 88 to 354 of the family's 1533-position model. The record is from RNAcentral.